CAUGUCUAGCUGGUCUAGAGAUGAUCAGCCACACUGGAACUGAGACACGGUCCAGACUCCUACGGGAGGCAGCAGUGGGGAAUAUUGCGCAAUGGGGNAAACCCUGAGCCAGCAACGCGUGAGUGAGGAAGGCUCUAGGGUCGUAAAGCUCUGUCAGAUGGGAAGAAACUACAGUUGGUCUAAUAGGCCAUUGUACUGACGU
RNAcentral lists this ribosomal RNA (202 nucleotides) under marine snow associated bacterium Adriatic53. RNAcentral's name for it is "partial 16S ribosomal RNA". It matches the Rfam family "Bacterial small subunit ribosomal RNA", at positions 278 to 475 of the family's 1533-position model. The record is from RNAcentral.